RNAcentral lists this ribosomal RNA (472 nucleotides) under Megalothorax sp. EA040003-cs16y. Its description in RNAcentral is "partial 16S ribosomal RNA". It matches the Rfam family "Bacterial large subunit ribosomal RNA", at positions 1819 to 2600 of the family's 2925-position model. The record is from RNAcentral. RNAcentral also lists the same sequence under 1 other name. Lineage: Eukaryota; Metazoa; Arthropoda; Collembola; Neelipleona; Neelidae.
UUCUCUCUGAUUUAAUAGAGGGUAUAACCUGCCCACUGACAUGUUAAAGGGCUGCAGGAUUUAACUGUGCAAAGGUAGCGUAAUAAUUAGUUUUUUAAUUAAGGAAUGGAAUGAAUGGUUGAAUAGUGUUUAAUUUUUAGUGCUUAAUUUAUUGAAAUUGAAUAUUAAGUGAAAAUGCUUAGAAUACUCUAAAAGACGAUAAGACCCUAUAGAUCUUUAUACUUGUUUUAUAAUUAUUAGCAGAUAGAGGUAAGUUAAAGUAAGGAUUUUACUGGGGUGGUAGUAGAAAUAUAUAAACUUCUUGAAUUUUAAUAACUUAAACUUAGAAUAAAAAGAUACCUUAGGGAUAACAGCGUUAUUAAAUUUUAGAGAUCUUAUCGAUAAUUUAGUUUGCGACCUCGAUGUUGAAUUAAGGAGUUAGUUUUUAGCAGUAUAUAAAUUUAAUGGUCUGUUCGACCAUUUAUACCUUACA